Molecule: long non-coding RNA, 1819 nt
Organism: Vicia villosa (hairy vetch)
Lineage: Eukaryota; Viridiplantae; Streptophyta; Magnoliopsida; Fabales; Fabaceae
Exons: 4
Source: RefSeq, a predicted model, not a curated record
ACAUUCUAAGACUAAAAUCAAAUGGUGACGAAGCUAAACCUUGCACCACAACCAUGGGGGAAAUGCUUAACACGCAAACAAGAGUGAGAUAGCGUGGCGAAAUUGGUAAAAGGGACGAAUGAAGAUCUUACCGACGGAACGGAGAAUGGUUCCGGUGCGUGUUACAAAGGAAACUUCAAUCGCAAUGUGCAGAGAAAUCCAGAGGGGAGGUAAUAACUAGCUUCCAGGUUAUGGAAAUGCAAGCUGGUGGAUGACUGGGUGUUUAUUUGUUCCCAGCUUGGUUCUCUUUGAAUUGGAUGCCCAUUGAAAUGUAUUUGUUUUAGACAAUUUGCUAGAACUGUCAGGACUAUGCAGCUGCCAUUGGCUUAUGAAUGGGACUAUUUUCGUGUUACGGUUUGAGGCUUUGGUUAGGAAGUGGGCAUGGAAGCUGCAUGGCUGGUAUGUGAAGCUAGAAAUUGAAGGUAAGCUAAAAAGGAAAUAUGUUAAGUUUUGAAACGAUUAUGAAUAUUGUGAAUGCUGGUCUGGUUUGGUGUUUGGAUGCAGGCUGCUAAUAUUUUGGUUACUAUGUGUGCAGAAUUUGUGGAUUGUGAAUUUAUGGAUGAUGGUUGUAGUUUAUGCUAAUCUAUUCUUUUGUGAUGCAGGUUGGUUGGAUGAUUUAAUACCUGACUGAAUUGUGUGUGUUGCAGGGCAUAUAAGAGGCUCAAAAGGAGGUGGAAUAUGAAGCAUGGGGUUAUUGAGUGCAGAUAUGGCCAUGUAUAAAAUAUGAAAUUGUUAUAACAAUGGUUAAAAGGAAUGUUAGGGGAGUUAUGAGGAGGUUAAGAUUCUGUUUUGGUUUUGUGAUGUAUGUAUUGUGAAUAUUGUACACGAACUUGCAUGAAUUUGUAUGAGAAUCAAUGUAGGUAGGUUUGAUGGCAUGGUCUUAAAACGAAUGUAUACUGAAUUAUGCAGGGCAGUAGUUAGAAAAUUAGUUUAAAACGGUUGCGGUUAGUAGAAAAUGAAACUUAAAACUAAUAGAAAAAGGUUAAUGAAAAAUCUGUAACAAGAAUUCUGCUAGUCGUUAGUCAUGGAAUCAGUUAGCUUGGACUUGGCUGUAAUGAUUGUUAUAAGUUUAAAGUGAAUUUUGGAAUGGUUUUCUAUCUUCUUCAUAGCAUUUCAAUGCACUCAAUAGAUUGUGCUCUAUAUCUCUAAUUAGAGAUUCUGCUAGGUAUUCAAGUAUCCCACCAAUUUUGGCUUUUCCUGUUUCCUUUGAAUUAAGUGGUAGAUUAUGUGGACUUAGAUGUUUGCAUUUGCGUCUGAAACUUAUAGAUUCGAAACUGCCUUGGAACUGAUAUGUUGUUUUCGUUUUGAUGCAGGUUUUAUGUAUUCGGUCAUGGUUCAUUCAUAAAUUUCGACUUGUUAUUUGAUUGUCAACUUGCAAAAUCAGUAGGUUAGUUGAGAGUGAAGGCUGGAUUGAUAGUUUAGGUUGGCUUUGAUCUAUGUUUGCUCACUGUCUGUGAUAUAGCAUGAGAUUACCUUGGCAUUCAUGGAGACCUAUGCAUGAUUUGAAGUCAUGGAAACAAAAUGGUAUAAGAGGGACAGCAAUAUUGAGGAAUGGGAAAAAUGUGUUGACUUGAAGAUAAAAUCGAAGAGAAGUCCAGGAUUAACAUGUUGACUUUGAUCAACUGUUUGACCAAAAAGUCAACAGUUGACUAAAAGUCAACUUAGGUCAAAAUGUGUCAAUUUCUUGCAAUCUUUCUUUCUUUUAUGUGUAAUGAUCGUGUUGACUUGUAAUUGACCUUUUCAAGUAAUGAAGUCAUUUCCCUCCUUAUUUGGAUUUAAA